RNAcentral lists this ribosomal RNA (643 nucleotides) under uncultured Nocardioides sp. RNAcentral's name for it is "bacterial SSU rRNA". It matches the Rfam family "Bacterial small subunit ribosomal RNA", at positions 188 to 844 of the family's 1533-position model. Lineage: Bacteria; Bacillati; Actinomycetota; Actinomycetes; Propionibacteriales; Nocardioidaceae. The record is from RNAcentral.
AUGUGAUGGUGGUGGAAAGUUUUUUCGGCGCAGGAUGUGCUCGCGGCCUAUCAGCUUGUUGGUGAGGUAACGGCUCACCAAGGCUUUGACGGGUAACCGGCCUGAGAGGGUGACCGGUCACACUGGGACUGAGACACGGCCCAGACUCCUACGGGAGGCAGCAGUGGGGAAUAUUGGACAAUGGGCGGAAGCCUGAUCCAGCAACGCCGCGUGAGGGAUGACGGCCUUCGGGUUGUAAACCUCUUUCAGUACCGACGAAGCGAAAGUGACGGUAGGUACAGAAGAAGGACCGGCCAACUACGUGCCAGCAGCCGCGGUAAUACGUAGGGUCCGAGCGUUGUCCGGAAUUAUUGGGCGUAAAGGGCUCGUAGGCGGUUUGUCGCGUCGGGAGUGAAAACACCGGGCUUAACUCGGUGCUUGCUUUCGAUACGGGCAGACUAGAGGUAUGCAGGGGAGAAUGGAAUUCCUGGUGUAGCGGUGAAAUGCGCAGAUAUCAGGAGGAACGCCGGUGGCGAAGGCGGUUCUCUGGGCAUUACCUGACGCUGAGGAGCGAAAGUGUGGGGAGCGAACAGGAUUAGAUACCCUGGUAGUCCACACCGUAAACGUUGGGCGCUAGGUGUGGGGCCUAUUCCAUGGGUUCCGU